Molecule: long non-coding RNA, 262 nt
Filed under: Lathyrus oleraceus (garden pea)
Lineage: Eukaryota; Viridiplantae; Streptophyta; Magnoliopsida; Fabales; Fabaceae
Description: Pisum sativum (pea) long non-coding RNA (PSAT_LNC024753)
Source: RNAcentral
UCUGGUGAUUUUUGAAAAUGUUUGAGUUGACUUUUGAUGCAAGUCAUUCUGUUGACUUCUUUGAGCUAUCUCUUGCCAUGCUUUGACUUCUUUUGCUUGUAAAUUGAUGAUGAUGCAUGAUUUGGACUUGUGACCAAUUGAGCUUGCUUCUUAAGUGUUUGAACUUGAUUUUGGUUGACUUUCAUUUGCUGUUUUGACUUUUUCAUUCUCUUUUGACCCUAGGCUUGUCCUAGUGGUCCAGUUACUUACUGUUGAGCUUAUG